UCCUUCUUAGCUCAGUUGGUAGAGCGCGUCACUAGUAUGUGCGUGACAUAAAGCGUCAGGAUCGCACUAUGACGAGGUCAGUCGUUCGAGUCGGCUAGAAGGAA
Non-coding RNA from Collybiopsis luxurians FD-317 M1, 104 nucleotides. The record is from the annotation of a GenBank genome assembly. Lineage: Eukaryota; Fungi; Basidiomycota; Agaricomycetes; Agaricales; Omphalotaceae.